AUUUUGCUUGGACUUCCGAAGAUG
This 24-nucleotide non-coding RNA is filed under the name Arabidopsis thaliana (thale cress). Lineage: Eukaryota; Viridiplantae; Streptophyta; Magnoliopsida; Brassicales; Brassicaceae. The record is from RNAcentral.